Molecule: ribosomal RNA, 178 nt
Filed under: uncultured bacterium
Lineage: Bacteria
Description: partial 16S ribosomal RNA
Rfam family: Bacterial small subunit ribosomal RNA
Source: RNAcentral
UGAGCAAUCUGCCCUUCUCAUCGGAAUAAGCGUUGGAAACGACGUCUAAUGCCGAAUACGACCUCCUUUCGCAUGAUCGGAGGUGGAAAGCUCCGGCGGAGAUGGAUGAGCUCGCGGCCUAUCAGCUAGUUGGUGAGGUAACGGCCCACCAAGGCGACGACGGGUAGCCGGCCUGAGG